Dioscorea cayenensis subsp. rotundata (Guinea yam) is the source of this 107-nucleotide small nucleolar RNA. The record is from RefSeq and is a predicted model, not a curated record. Lineage: Eukaryota; Viridiplantae; Streptophyta; Magnoliopsida; Dioscoreales; Dioscoreaceae.
AAUCCAUGAUGCGGGCACCACUUAAGAAGGUCCUUGAAUCGUUCAUGUGACUCAAACAAUGUUUUUAAUUAUCCUUGCUUAAAUAUCGAGAUCUCCUUCCUGAUCAU